This 225-nucleotide ribosomal RNA is filed under the name uncultured Silanimonas sp. RNAcentral's name for it is "partial 16S ribosomal RNA". It matches the Rfam family "Bacterial small subunit ribosomal RNA", at positions 568 to 792 of the family's 1533-position model. Lineage: Bacteria; Pseudomonadati; Pseudomonadota; Gammaproteobacteria; Lysobacterales; Lysobacteraceae. The record is from RNAcentral.
UGCGUAGGCGGUUCGUUAAGUCUGACGUGAAAUCCCCGGGCUCAACCUGGGACGUGCGUUGGAAACUGGCGAUCUAGAGUACGGUAGAGGGUGGUGGAAUUCCCGGUGUAGCGGUGAAAUGCGUAGAUAUUAGGAGGAACACCAGUGGCGAAGGCGGCUUGCUGGACGAUAACUGACGCUGAGGCGCGAAAGCGUGGGGAGCAAACAGGAUUAGAUACCCGCGUA